GGAAGCUCCUGGCUAUACCCUGAGGCAACUAGGCCUAGGCGAACAGGAAGCUAGGUGGAACUAGGCCUAGGCAAGGCUGGGAAGCUUUCCAACUGACCCUUUCUUUGUCUCAGUUGAACUACGGUUAACCUCUGUUGGAGUCUGUCUGCGGGAAGGAACUCCCAGAACAAAGAAUUAUGGGAUUUAUAAUCAACAAUAUACAAAUAGCACUUCCCUCAUCAUCAGUUCUUGACUGGAGGGCCAUCUUGUGAUCAGUCUCGGAGAACACGCUCUUCUGAGUUGGCCCUGCCAAAAAUCUAUCUCUCUCUUCAUCUGCUUGCCAUUAGUCAUUAGCCAAAGAACACUGAGCAGCACUCAAGUGUGACGUCCACACAACCUUUUCUUCUUGUUUGUUGAGCGGCAUCUUGCCUCUGUACACAGUGUCUCCAAUUAGCUGGCCCAAUAGCCAACUCUUGGAACGACCUCCUACGAAACCACAAAGAGAUGUAAUCACAUUGCGUACGCCUCAGACGCUCAACAGUUAGCUUCUAGAGUGGUACAUGAGAUUCAGGGUCAUCAUCCCAACUCAUCUUUCAGGGAGUAAAGGAUUCCCAGACAGAGAUUUGCUGCCAGUUUUCCAUCGCUAUGAAGACCCUUUUCCUUCUCUUGAUUGUGGUCUUCCUGGUGUUUUUUCCUGAUGGAGGAUCCAGCAUGGCAAACAAUAGGAAAAAAUGUAAACGUGAAGGAGGCUUCUGCAUUCAGCCAAAGGGGAAUGUGUGUCUCUACCCUUCAAGGUUUAUCGGAAGCUGCAAUCAUGAACAACUCUGCUGUAAAAAAGGCAUCCAGCUUGCAAAGAAACAAGGCUAAUGACUCAACCAUGAAAAAGAAGACUUUCAGCAGCCACCUUCAUUCCAGUUUUCACUGCAAUUGCGAUCUUCUCUUCAUGCUCUUAAUGAUACUUCGAAGCAAAAAUGGAUCACAGAAAACAUUCUUAUGAGAAAUUCUGCAUUUAAUAAAAGCGAAUCGUACCAAAUUGUUCCA
RNAcentral lists this long non-coding RNA (1020 nucleotides) under Pogona vitticeps (central bearded dragon). Its description in RNAcentral is "lncRNA (ENSPVIG00000003508.1)". Lineage: Eukaryota; Metazoa; Chordata; Lepidosauria; Squamata; Agamidae. The record is from RNAcentral.